This 5488-nucleotide small RNA is filed under the name Rattus norvegicus (Norway rat). Its description in RNAcentral is "uncharacterized LOC102556873". The record is from RNAcentral. Lineage: Eukaryota; Metazoa; Chordata; Mammalia; Rodentia; Muridae.
UCAGGGUCUGCAUGACCCAGUUGGGAACAAGGAUCCCAUGUUGAUUGACUCCCCACCUUGACAAGUAUCUUGUUGUUGGGAUGACCAGCAUGUGACUAUUGGGACAAGAUAGAAGUAUUUACAAAGCCAACAGUUUUGACCAAUUUAUGCGAAUUAGGGCAGAUUUGAGAGUACACUUAAGAGUUUUAAACUUUGUUUGAAAAAACAAAAAACAGUGUUCUUGGAAUAGUUUCUUUGGAGUAGAGCGCAUAAGGCCAAAUUUUAUCUGAUUGUUGGUGAGCACCUGUGGGUUUUUGUGUUCCUUAUGUAGUAUCCCUUAGGUUUGGGUCGAACAAUGUAAACCUUAUCAUUUCCACUGUUUUUAACAUCUCAAAUGAUGUCCCACGUCCUAGGUGCCAAUCCACAAAUGCCCACUCCUACAUCUUCUCCCUCCUCCCUCCAUUUUGCCACUAUGAUGCUGCUCUAAACUCACCCAACUUUUCGAAACCCACCACUCCAGCCUCCUCCUACGUUCGAGCAUCACAUCUCCACAGGACCAAGGGCCUUCCAUCCCAUUGGUUUCAAAUAAUGCCAUCCUCUGAUAUAUAUUGGUUGGUGGUCUAUUUUCUGGGAAGCUCUGGGUCAUCAGCCAGCAUAUAUUGUUCUUCCUCUAUUGCAGGACCUCUCUGUCACAGGACAUCCACUGUUUAAGCACCACCACUACCUCAGGAAGUCCACUGUCUGUGUGUCAACUCCCACUGUUACAGGACCACAAGUGUCUCAGCACUUCAACUAUCACAGCACUUCUACUGUUCAGGAGCUCAAGAGUCUCAGCAUCUCAAGUGUCACAGGACCUCCUUUGUCCAAGAACUGGACUGUCCAAGCAAUACUGCUAUUGCGGGACCUCCACUGUCACAGGAUUUCCACUGUAGGAGCACUACAACUGUCUCAGGACACCCACUGUCCUAUAACCUCCACUAUCCCAGGAAUUCCACUGUCGUAGCACCACCCGUAGCAACUAAAGUGUUUCAGGACAUCAACUGAAGCAAGAUCUCCCAUGAUUCUGCAACUUCACUGCCCCAGGAUCUCUACAGUGACAGGAAUACUUCUGUAUCAGCAAUUCCAAUUUUGCAGGACCUCCACUGUAGCAGAACCUCAAUUGUGCAGCAGCUCCCCUGUAUGUAGAUUGACCUCCACGAUCUCAGUGCCUCCACUUUCAAAGGACCUUCACUGUCACAGAACCGGCGCUAUUUCAGUGCCUCCACUGUCGCAGGACCUACCUCUUCACAGGAUCUGCACUGUUGCAGCAACUGUAAUUUCAAUUUUUCAAAGUCAUUGCUGGUUAUUAGAUUUCAGGCUGAAUGAAAUGAGAUGUUACUUUUGAAAGCAUAAGAAUUUGUUCUAUACCUCUUGUGAUAAAUGCCGUGUUUGCUAGGACCAGUAAACUAUGGAAGACUUCUUCAGCUCAUACCACUCUCCACCUCACUUUGUGGAAGCUGGUGUUUUUAGAGUGUGAUAAACUUCAGGUGAAUGGAUGCAUUCAGCUGCACCACGCUCUAGAGUGGACUACACAGCAGUCAUAUUGAGUCCUUGCUGGGAAGAGAAGAAAUCCAGAAGAAGGAGAAGGCUUGGGUUGGGGGAAGAAUCAUAAAAUACUUAGAGGAUAUUAGAAGGUAAGAAUUAUGGGGAACUGGAAAACAGAGCCAAAGGAAGAAUGAGCACAGAGCAAACUGGGAAGGACAAAGUACAAAGGCACUUGGGUUUUGCCAUCUGCGUGUUCUCUGGACAAUCUCCCUGGGCCACAUUUCUGGGAGAAAACUCUUCCCCCACCCCCUUGUAAGGUUUCAUUCUUGAAGGAAAGCAGCAACACAACUUCAUCAGUGAAUUUCCCCAUUGGAAUUGGUUCAUCCUUUAAUGCUUCUGGGAAAUCCCGAGCUGGGGAAUGUCCUGCUCUCUGCUGAGAGACAGCAGGAAAGUAGGUCGUCCUCUGUUUUCUCGUUGCUACAGCUCUUCUAAGUAUGGCUGAUUGUUGAGUGAAGACACAGGAUACUUCUGGUGUGUAUGUAUGCUUUGUUCACUGUGGGUGUUGUUGGGAGUGUCCUGAAAAGAAGGGCAUGCCCAAUGGCACUUCUGCUUCCUCUUUGACUAGCCUUAUGAUCAUAGGGAGACACUAGGCCAUUGGAAGAUGAGGAGAGCAAUGUGUCUAAGUUGUGUUCACUUCUAUUCCUAUUUAGUCCUAGAGGGAAAUCAGCAAGGGUGUGAGGAAUGCUGCUGUGCACUGACUGUGUGGUGUGAGGAAUGCUGCUGUGCACUGACUGUGUGGUGUGAGGAAUGCUGCUGUGCACUGACUGUGUGGUGUGAGGAAUGCUGCUGUGCACUGACUGUGUGGUGUGAGGAAUGCUGCUGUGCACUGACUGUGUGCUGUGAGGAAUGCUGCUGUGCAUUGACGCUGCCUUUUUUCUUUUCUCCCUACACCUGCAUCCUUCUGGUGGCUCAGGUUGGACAACUAGGUGCCCAUGACCAACUCCUCAUUGUGGAUGGAUUUAGUCUGGUUGGACUUUCUCAGGAAAGGCAGCUGAACUCAUGACUAGUACCAGUUCCACGGUUACCCUGGAAGUUGCAAAUCAAGACAUCCUCUCUCACUGCCUGUCCACCUUUCUUACCAACCCAUUGUCCUCCAUGGUGCAGAGAGAUCAGCCUCCUAUUCCUGGAGAGAAGUGUGCAUAUACCACUAGAACAGCAGCUAACAUCUGUCUCCACUGGAGACCUCUGCACUGAGGUCUGAGAUGACCUGGAACACUUUCUUACUUGUGAAAUAUCUGACUUCUUUGAUACAGUUCUCAACAAAUUACAUUAACUAUCAUUCCUGAAUUUUGUUCACUGAAGUUUUAUUUUUAUUACGCUACUCAAGUAAACUAAUACUAAAUUAUUGAAUCUGGGAAAAUGAGAAUUAGUGUAAAUGAGUAAAUAAGAAAAUGUGAAAUGUUUUUUUAUUGAAAGCAUAGGGUCAACAUUACAUUUUUAGCACAGCAUUUAAAAUACAUGCUUUUUAGAAAACCAUUUAUUUAUUUCCUUUAUAAUCCAAUAUUAGCCCUUCCUGUCUUCCCAGUAACCCACCAUACAAAUCUUCCCUCCAUCGCCCUUUCCUGAAAUGGCAAAGCUCCUUUCGGGAUUUCAACCCCCUUGAAUGCUUUUUAAAAGAUUGUAAAACAGAUCCCUGAGGAAAAAGUACGCCUUUUAUGCAGGUUUAAGCAUCUGAUUGUUUAUUUCUUUACAUUUCACAAGAGCAGACCCCUCAACCUAGACCUGGUUAGGAGCUAAAUUGCAGGAGUGACAAUGCCACAAACAGCAUGCAUCAGUGUAUAGAAAAAUCUUUUUAUUCCUUCAUAGACACAGGAACAGCUGGCUACUUGGCGGGUGAGCCAUAAAGCAGUGUCAGGUCUGGUUAUUCACCCAUUCCCCAGUUUUUGUUACCUCCUCUGUGAGGAAGAAACAUGCAUGAAAUUUUGCUAACAUCUCUGGUGAGUCCCUGAAGUAGUAGAGCUUCCUCUUUUCUUUUCUCAGCCUCUUACCACUUCCAAGGAAGAACUUCAGGAAGAGUUUUACCUACUUGAGCUCCAUUGAGUAGAGGCUGGCAAGGGUCUCUAGUGUGACAGUAAUAUGUGGAUCCAGAGCUCCUCAUUGGAAUCUGUGACAUCCAGACAGGAGCACCUGAACCCUUCCUCCAAGUCAGUUACCCCUGCUUCCACUCUGACUAAGAGUGGUCCUGGCCAUUGGGAAACCCCAGCAGAGGUGCUGGCCACCACUGUUACUGUCUCCCAGCCCAUAUGAACAGACCUCCCUCCACCACCUCCUCUACCACAGGUCCACUACACCAGAUUUUGGCGGCAUUUUAGUGGAUUUGCCCCUCCCACCACCUUCUGCAAACAAGGCAGGAUCCCAGUCUGUUCAGGUGGCUGCUGGCUAGCAAAAGAGAGUGAGGAGCAGCAGCGGUGGUCUGAGAUAUAGAAGGCCUGCCUGGACAAGGAAGCAGAGAGGAAGCACAGGGAGCAGGAGAGGAAUGGGUGACAGAUGCACUCUCAUUCCCUGAACCUGCUUCCUUCUCUUCUUUGACCACACCGACCAAACCAGGAAAACCUUCCACACUGCAGAGGCCCAAGAAACAGUCAUUCUGGUGUUGUAGUCCCCGCAGCAGCCCCCCACUAUUGAGCACAGGGAUCUGCAGUUCAUAACUAUCAGUAAAGAGGAGUUGUCCUCUGGGGAGUCUGUCUCCAGACCCAUGGAAACAAGAUGCCAGGGAGAAGCUGGAGAAGCAACAGCAAAUGCACCUUGUGGAUAUGCUAAGCAAGGAGAUCCAUGAGCUGCAAAACAAGGGGGACGGUAGUGCAGAGGAGAGUGACUGCCUGUGGAAGAAUAUGCUGGAGUGGCAGUUCCAGAAGAGACUUCAGACCAUAUUUCUUGUGUUUCUCCCAGGUUCAUUUCAGAAUACUGUUCAAGAAGCUCAACAUUUGUCGUUUACAUAGUAGAAAUUUAUAACAACAAUGUUUUUGCCCUUCUUGCCUUAGACAGUUCUACAGUGGUGUCUAUGGUUAAGUGCCAGGCAGUGAGAACCCAGGAGUGAUAUUCAGAGGUACAAAGGAUGACCUGCAGGAAUGACUGCAUAUGGUCAACACACACUACCCUGGAAGACCCGAGAGUUCAAGGACGGCCAACUUUCACUUAAGCAAACUUGUCCACAGACUGCGUGGGUCCCAUCAGCUGAGAGUAGCCUCCACAUUGCAGUGAUGUGCAAACUUCUGCCUUUCAGCCAUGAUGGACUUUAGGAUCUAACCUGAGGACCCUACACAAGGCACAGGUAGGUGAUGUGUAAAUGAGGCAUGUUACUGGGUCAGGUCUUCAGUGCAGUGUCUUAAGCUGUCAGGCUUUUGGGAGGGCAUAUGCUUCUCUAUUAAAUGAGCUGGCUUCUCUGAAGGCCUCAACUCUGCUGUGUCUGCCGCUCAUGCUCCCUCCUCCAAGAAUCUAACUGUCCCUAGCUCUCUGUGACUGGCUGGUCAGUCAGCCUUCAUGCCACUCCACAGCCACUCUACAACACAGAGCCCACACUGUCCUCUGCAGAAGUUUCACAGGGCUGCUGCUUUAGUCUCUCUGUUGCGCUAUGGGGGUCCAAAGUCAAGUUUCUUAGGUCCCUAGGUGUCCCUGAAAAGGCUCUAGAACAAGGAAGAGGUGAAGAAAUCAGGAAAUAAACUCCUGCAGUACUUCAUGACUACCACUGGAGGGCUCUACACCUUUCUGGUCCUAGUGUGCCACUCAGCAAGCCCUCUCACUCACUCUAAGGUUCUGAGCCUGAUGGAGAGGACUCCUGCUAAACCCAGUGUUCCCAAGAAACUGGCUGUACCGGCAGGGCUAACUGUAGAGGAUUCUCCACGACCCUGAGAACACAAUUUGGAAAUCUCAGGUAGGCAGGGUGUGUGGGGGAGCAACCAGGGCUGGAUGGAGACCUUACCCAGAA